RNAcentral lists this ribosomal RNA (301 nucleotides) under uncultured bacterium. RNAcentral describes it as "partial 16S ribosomal RNA". It matches the Rfam family "Bacterial small subunit ribosomal RNA", at positions 509 to 807 of the family's 1533-position model. The record is from RNAcentral.
CAGUAGCCGCGGUAAUACGUAGGUGGCAAGCGUUGUCCGGAAUUAUUGGGCGUAAAGGGCUCGCAGGCGGUUUCUUAAGUCUGAUGCGAAAGCCCCCGGCUCAACCGGGGAGGGUCAUUGGAAACUGGGAAACUUGAGUGCAGAAGAGGAGAGUGGAAUUCCACGUGUAGCGGUGAAAUGCGUAGAGAUGUGGAGGAACACCAGUGGCGAAGGCGACUCUCUGGUCUGUAACUGACGCUGAGGAGCGAGAGCGUGGGGAGCGAACAGGAUUAGAUACCCGGGUAGUCCCUGUCUCUUAUAC